RNAcentral lists this long non-coding RNA (15826 nucleotides) under Lynx pardinus (Iberian lynx). The record is from RNAcentral. Lineage: Eukaryota; Metazoa; Chordata; Mammalia; Carnivora; Felidae.
GUACAAAGCCAAUAAAGACACUUAUUCAUAAAGUAGUAGAAAAUGUUAAUGGUAUCAUCUUUGAAAGUAGAACUAAUUUCACUUACUGGGAUUCUACUGAAAAAUACUUCACUGGACUAAAAUAUGAGGGUAAAGAAACCUGUGAACACAGGUAUAAAAUUGGAAAUUGAGGAUGAACCAAAUAGAGAAAAUUAAACAACACCUUAUUUGUGGUGGCAGGCAUAAACAAUUUAGUCAAGAAAAAAAUUAGAAGUUAAUGUCUUUAUUACAUAGGUUCCUAGCAAUAAUUAAAUCCCAAAAUUAUUCUGGAAGGGGGGAUUUUCUUCCACUUCCUUCCCGGUGCUCUGAAACUGCAGAUUAGGGAUAAUGGGCUUGAGGAACUUGAACUCACUGGUCCCCGAACCUCCCCGAAGACACACCUCAUACUGGUAGCUCUGGGACAGCGUCCCCGCGCCGCUGACGUCCACCAGGUGGCCCGGAAAGCGGCCCUCGGGCGCCAAGCAGGGGCCCGCAGACGCCGCCCGGCUCCGCCUGCACAGCCGCACCGCCACGAACACCAGCACCGAGAACAGGAAGAGCGACGACACGGACGCCAAGGCGACGACCAAGUAGACGGUGAGCGGGUCGGCCCGCGCCUCGGCCGCCGCCACCUCCGGGAGCGGCAGGUAGGGCUGCGAGAAGCCGUCCACCAGCAGCACGUGCAGCGUGACGCUGGCCGAGCGCGGCGGCUCGCCAUUGUCCCUGACCAGCACCACCAGCCUGUGCUUGACGGCGUCGCGCUCGCUCAGCAGCCGCGCCGUGCGCACCUCGCCGUUGUGCGCCCACACGCCGAACAGCCCGGGCUCCGUGGCCUUGAGCAGCUGGUACGACAGCCAGGCGUUCUGGCCCGAGUCGCCGUCCACCGCCACCACCUUGGUCACCAGGUAGCCCGCCUCGGCCGCCCUGGGCACCAGCUCGGUGCAGGGCGCAGAGCCGUUCUGCGGCGGGUACAGCACGAAGGGCGCGUUGUCGUUGUCGUCCAGCACCAGCACGCGCACCCGCGCCUGGCUGCUGAGCGCGGGCGAGCCGCGGUCGGCCGCGCGCACGCCGAACUCGAACGCCUGCAGCGCCUCGUAAUCCAGGGACCUGAGCGCGAACAGCUGCCCGUUGUCCGCGUUGAUGGACACCAGGGAGGCCAGGGGCAGCUGCGGGUCCGCGGGCGGCAGCAGCGAGUAGGUGACCUGGGCGUUGGCGCCCGAGUCCCUGUCCGUGGCGCUCACGCUGCCGAUGUGCAGGGCGGGGCUGUUGUUCUCGCGGACGCGCAGGGUGUAGGUGGUUUGGCUGAAGGCGGGGGCGUUGUCGUUGACGUCGGAGACCGUCACGGUUAUGUUAUGCUGCGUUUUCAGCCUGGGGGUCCCCAAGUCGGUGACGGUGAUAGUGAUGUUGUAUUGGGCUCUUUCUUCUCUGUCUAGUGCUCUCUUGGUUACCAAGGUGUAAAAGUUCUUGACUGAAGGUUUUAGAAGAAAAGGAAGGUCAUCCUGGAUGGAGGAAACAGUCUUCCCGUUAUCCCCAGAGUCAGGAUCAGAAACACUGAAAACAGCAACUACAAUCUCAGGUGAGUUCUCCAGGAUAGGGCUGGUGAGUGCAGACAUGGUCACUUCUGGGGGAUUAUCAUUUACAUCCACCACCUGGAGGAGAAGAGUGCAUUUUCCUGAAAGGCCUCCCCCAUCUGUGGCCUUGAUGUCCACCUCAUAAGAUUGAACUGUUUCAAAAUCUACUUGUUUUCUCAGUUGAAUUUCUCCUGUUACAGGAUUCACCUCCAAAGUUUUGCUAAUAUCUUCUGAAGGCUGAAAGAGCGUGUAGGCUAUUUUUCCAUAUACUCCGCUGUCUAAAUCUCUGGCAGAGACAAUGACAACCAAGGAGCCUACAUGGCUGUUCUCAGGAAUUUGCACCUUGUAGAUGGGCUGCUCAAACUGAGGGGCGUUAUCGUUGCUGUCCACCACUUCAAUGCGCACCUGAGCGGUCCCAUACCGAGGUGGAGAGCCGCCAUCCAGCGCCGUUAGAGUUAAAACGAUUUCAGGCUCCUCCUCCCUGUCUAGCUCUUCUUCCAACACCAGCUCAGGGUAUAUUCUGCCGUCACUGAGUUUGCGGGUUAGAACCCGGAAAUGGGAGUUGGGGCUGAUUUUAUAGUUUUGAACAUUGUUGCUUCCUACAUCCAAGUCCAGAGCAUUACUCAGAGGGAAUGCAAUUCCUAGAGGACUGUUUUCAGGUAUUCUUAGAAUCAUUUCUCUUUCGGUGAACACGGGAGAAUUGUCAUUUAUGUCUUUCACCCUCAGUUCAGCCUGAAAUAUCUCUAAGGGCUUUUCCAUUAACAGUUGGAAAUAUAACAAGCAAGGGUCAGCUGGACCACAUAGCUCCUCUCGAUCUAGUUUCUCGUUUAUGAGCAAAUCCCCAGUCUGAACCUUGAGCUGCAAAUGCUCUUUGUUCCCCUGAAAAAUGAUCCGAGCCCUGCGGUUGUACAUCUCUGUCAAUCCCAACCCCAAGUCUUUUCCUAGAUUUGCCACAAAGGAGCCUUUCUCCAUUUCUUCCACUACUGAAUAGGGACCUAACUCAGCACCCACCCCAAACAUGCUCAGCAAAACAAAGAAAACUAGGACUUGCCUUUGUCUCAGAUAGCACAUCCAGCCAAUCUCCAUUGCUCUUUCAUGAAAAUUUGGUUUACAGGAGCUUUGUGUAUGUCCAGAAUCCUGGUAGCCUGGUCCUGCAGUCCAGAUAUCAAAACUAUGCCACUAAAUAUAGUUUUAAAGAGAUUUCAGAUUCACGUUUGCUGUGGCCAAGAAAAACGUACUUUAGCUUCCAGGCAAUGUGAAAUUGUUUGGCUGGAUACUGGAGCUGCAUAGGCAAUUCUGUUUUUCAUCAUUUAACCUGCAGCGCCACCAUGUGUUCUCACUGAGUCUUAUAUUUUCCACAAAAUACUCCUAAAUGUACCGAAUAAGUUGUGUAAAAUGUGUUCUGUAAUAUAAAACAAUGAGCUCUAUUUUCAUGUGAUGUGUGUGUGUUCAGAUAGAGCUCUGUGUUGUUGCACAGGAGGAGUACAAAGAUCAAACUGUCACUUAUGUUACUGUUAAAACCUGUUGAGAGUUAAUGAUUAAAUAAAAUAAUUAACAUUUAAGCUGAAAACAAUGUACAUUUAGGAGCAAAAUGUUUUUGAAUUACCAUGGGAACAGUUUCACAAGUAGAUCAUUUUCAUGGUACACAUUACAGAAUUACAAAUGAAUGGACACUGCAAAAUUGCAAUUAGUGACAGUUCUAAAGAUAUUAUUUAACCAAUGCGUUAUUAAAUUGCAUACUUCCUCUUCUUUACAACACCGAAGACUGAGAGCUGUUUUUGCAAUUUUCAAGUUAUUGAAAAAUUAUUUCCCAAAUACAUAGAUCUCAAGAUUAGGCCUGCCAUGCUUUUGGAUUCUUUUAAAAAAUAUAUACAACAAGAAUAAUUUGUUAUAUUUAAAAAGCUUUAAUGACAUAUAACUCACAUACCACACAGUUCAUUUAAAGUGUACAAUUCAGUGAAUUAUAGUAUAUUCACAGAGUAGUACAUCCAUCACCAUAGUCAAUUUUAGAACAUUUUCAUCACCCCUCAAAAUCCAUACGCUUUAGCAUCAACCCUAAUACCCUAUCCCUCCCAUGCUGAGCCCUAAUCAAUAACUAAUUUACUUUCUAUCUCUAUAGAUUUCCCUAUUCUGGACUUUGAUAUGAAUAGAAUAAUUUAAUAUGUGGAGUUUUGUGACUGGCUUCUUUCACUGAGCAUGUUUUCAAGGUUCAAGUUGUAGCAUGUAUCAGUACUUCAUUCCUUUUUAUGGAUGAAUAAUAUUCCAUUGUAUAGAUAUGUAUCACAUUUUGAUUAUCCAUUCGUCUGUUGAUAGACAUUUGGUUUGUUUCCACCUUUUCACUAUUCAGAGUCCUGCUGCUGCAAACAUUCAUAUACAAGAGUUCAUGUGGACAUAAACUUUCAUUUCUCUGGCAGAAUUGCCAGGUCAUAUGGUAGCUCUAUAUUUUCCAAGGUGGCUGCACCAUUUUACAUUCCCAUCAGCUUUGUAUCAGCAUUCCAGUUUUCCCACAUCCUUCCAACAUUGGUUAUCUGACUUUUUGAUUCUACCCACUCUAGUGGGUAUGAAGUUGUAUCACAUGAUUUUAAUUUGCAUUUCUCUGAUGACUAAUGAUGUUGGACAUCUUUUCAUGUGCUUAUUGUCCAUUUGCAUAUCUUCCUUAGAAAACCAUCUAUUCAGAUCUUUGUCCAUUUUAAACUGGAUUAUUUAUCUUUUCAUAAUUGAGUUGCAAGCGUUCUUUGUAUAUCCUAGAUACAAGUCCCUUUCAGAUUUGUAUUUAUUUGUUCAGGCUUUCCAUUUCUAUAAUUUGAAUUGAAUUGCAGUAAGCUUCAUAUCUUUAUCAAUUCAGUGUUUUUCUUAGUAAUUCUUAGAAGUAUGUUAAAUACCUUGUCUGGGAUUAAAGCAUCUAAUCAAUGAGGCCUAAAUUCCUGUUAUAAAGACCUUUAUGUGCUUUCCAUUGGCUACCAGUGGUAUUGCUAGACUGGAUGAUUUUCUUCCAAGCAGCCAAUCUGUGGUAGAUAGAAUAAUGGCUACCCACCCAAAGACAUCCUAAUUCCCCAAAUCUGUAAAUAUGUAUCUUACAUGGCAAAGUUUAUAGAUGUAAUUAAAUUGAAGAUCUUAUGAAGGGAAGAUUAUCCUGGAUUAUCUGGGUGGGAAAAAUUUGUUGGGAAUGGUCAAAAGGAGAUAUGAUUAUGGAAUGAUCUGUUUAAGAGAUACAAUAUUUGGUUUUGACAAUGGAUGAAAGGUGACAUGAGUCAAGUAAUGUAGGCAGCAUCUAGAAGUUGGAAAAGACAAACAGAUUCUCCUCUAGAGCCAACAGAAAGACAUGCACUCCUGCCAACACUUUGAUUUAUCCCAGUGAUACCUAUACCAGACAUGAGACCUAAAAAGCUAUAAGGUAAUACAUUUUUUUUUGUUUUAAGCAACUUUGUGGUAAUUUUUUAUAGCAACAAUGGAAAAAAAUAUGUUACACAAGUAUGGAUAUUCAUGCACCUCACAGCUGAGUCAACAACAAUUUAUCACUCUACAAGAAUAGUUUCCCACAGCAAUUGCUGGAAGAUGUCUGAUUCAGCUCCAGUAAGCCAUCCUUUCAGAAUAAAGUCAUUUAUGACUCUCUAAAUUUUUUGCAGCAUAAUUUUUUUGUGGAGUUGCCAAAGAUGUGGUUAAUUUUAACAGAACAUAGCUGGAGCCUAUCAGUUUUGUUCCUACUAAAUUUCCAGAAUCUCUAAAUUAUUCAGUGAAAAAAAAUCUUCCACAUCAUUGCCUAUACUUCUCUGAAAUUAGUUAUUUCAUUUAAAAUUAAUGCUAGAAUAUGAGGGGCACCUGCGUGGCUCAGUUGGUUAAGCAUCUGACUUCAGCUCAGGUCAUGAUCUUGCAAUCAUGAGUUCAAGACCCCCAUCUGGCUCUCUGCUGUCAGCACAGAGCCUGUUCCCAAUCCUCUGUCUCCUUCUCUCUCUCUCUCUCCCUCUGCCCCUCUCCCAUGCUCCUUCUCCCUCUCUCAAAAUAAAAAAAUAAGCUUUAAAAAAUAAAAUUAAUACUAGAAUAUCAAUUGCUUUCAAAUAAUAGUGUGCUAAAAUAAAUACAGUGUAUUUAAUCUGCAUAAGGGACUUAGAAAAAAUGUAAAUAAUAAAGUGAAUUUCAACUUUCUAAGGAAAAUAAAAAUUUUAUAUUAGGACUGAUAGAAAACAGACUGAAGGGCUAAGUACAAGAAACUCAAGAAACAUAACCAUAAGGUAACUUUAUUCCUUAUUCAGGGCAUUCAUUACUGCAAUAAUGAAUGUGAUAUGUUGAGACGGUACAGGAAAACGAUCAGGCUGUAUUACUCCCAGUGAAGAUUAACUCUGGUGUCUCACCCAGAUAGUAGGUCAGUGCUUCUAUAAGAACUUUGGAUCUACUCGUCCAGAGUAGUAUUUUAGUCUAUAGUAAAGAAACAAGUACAAACUGUAGACUAAAAGCUACAUUUCUACAUAAGGUUCAGUUUAUGGAAUAGAUGGAUUUCACUUUCCUUAGUUAGGAAGACAAUGCUACCAGUUAAUGCCUGCCAUUAUAACACAUGGAUUAAGAACUGGAGUAUUCAGUUAAAACAGACAGAUAUUCAAAUUUCUCCUUUUAUUACUUUAUAAUUGCUAGCAGGUUACUAACCUUUCUAAGCUUCAGUUUUCUCAUAUGUAACUUAGAAAGCUAAAGUUCACUUUAUUACAUACAUUUUUUCUAAGUCCCUUAUUCAGACCUUAGAGUUUGGCAGAGGACUAAAAAGAUAAUGAAUGUAAAGCAUUCUAGUCUACUAUUUUUUUUUCUGUACCCUACUUUGAACUAAAUUAGAAAUCAUGAAUAAGAGCUUUAAAAGAUCAGUUAUAUCAAACUAUACACUUAAGAUCUGUGCAUUUUACUGUCUUACAUAACAUUUUAGUUUUAAAAAAUCUUACUGUUAAAGCCUUAGGAUUGGAUUCCACUGGAGGUAGCACAAAAACUAAAAUGAUGGUGCUGAAAUGAGAUAGAAGUUCUUUUAUCUCUCAAGUAAAAAAAGAAAUUCAGAAGUAGGCACUCCAGGGGUGAUAUGAUGACUCCAUAGUUACCAGGGACCCUCAUUUCUUUUAAGUUUAUUCUACACUGACUGUCUUUGUACAUUAUUUCCAUCCUUAGUGUUGUUCUAUGGUCCAACAUGGCUAAUUGUGUUUCAGCUAUUACUUACACAUUCCAAGCCAUAAGAAGCAGUUAGAGAAGAACAAAAAGGUACCUCUCCCUUUAAAUAGCCUUCUUGGAAAUCUCCUACAACAUCUGUAUAUACAUUCCAUUGGCAAUAACCUAGUGAAAUGCUCCAUUCCAGCUGCCAAGGAGGGAAAAAGUAUUUUUUUUUUUUACUAAACUUGCUAAUGCUCUACAUGUAAUUUGUGAUGUUACUAAGGAAGAAAAAAUAAAUGGAUAUUUGGUGGCCACUGCAUUUACUGUCAUCCAUGCUCAAUGUUUCUCAAAUAGAAAAAGUCCAUUUCACUACUAUGCUAUCUUAUGUCACUGGAUGAACACAAUGUUGCUAUUUUUCCUCCAGUUAACAGCAAUGAAACUUAAUAGAAAGCAAUUAAAAUAAUUAUAUUAAAAUUAACACUACUAUAUGAAUGAAAGGAAGCACAGUUAGUAUAACAUUUAAGAGAAAACAAUAUCAGAGUUAAGAGCUAUGAGAGCAGCUUCCCUGAAUGCGCAGAGUCUGCUUGGGAUUCUCUCUUUUCUGCCCUCUCUCUGCCCCUCCUUCGCAUGCAUGUGUGCACACAUCCCCUCUCUAAGUAAAUUAAAAAAGAGCUAUGAGAGCAGAAUAAAGCAAGAGCCAGAUUCUCACUGUACCAGUUAUUUCCUUCUCCACCAGGCAUACUUCAUGUGUUAGUGUAUUACUGCUUUUAUUUAUCUAAUGAUUUAAAACAAGAAAAGGGAAUACAAUUGAUUGUAUAAAAUUAACUUUCCACUAUUUUUUCCUAAUCCAUUUCUUUUUUCAAGCUCUAUUUAAAAAAUGUUUAUUCCUUUUUGAGGGGGAGGGGCAGGAAGAGAAGGAGACAGAGGAUCCGAAUGGGGCUCCCACAGCAUCCAGCCCUAUUCUGGGCUCCAACUCUGGAGCAGUGAGAUCAUGACCUGAGGGGAAGUUGGGAUGCUCACCCGGGCUACCCAGGUGCCCCAUCCUAAUCCAUUCCUAAACUAUUCCACAGCAACAAUUUGUACAACUAAUGACCUCACCAGUGUUUUGAGGGCAAAAUUUAAGACCAAUCAUCUCAUAGUGAUGAAAAAAAGACUAUUCUUUAUAACAAAGGGGUAAUAUAAAGUAUUUUGCAGGCAAGUUUAGUGUGAUUUAAAAAGUCUUAACGGGUUGCCAGGAAAGCUAUAUCUUGAACUUACCAAUUUUAAAUAUCUGGAAUAUGAAAAACAAUACAAUCACUGAAUACUAAAACCAAAGUCAUUCCUAAAGUUGGCGUUUUCUUCUAUUUCUGGCCCAGGGGAGUGGCCCUGGAAAUUGGGCACAUUUGGCUUGAGGAACUUGAACUCACUGGUCCCCGAACCUCCCCGCAGACACACCUCAUACUGGUAGCUCUGGGACAGCGUCCCCGCGCCGCUGACGUCCACCAGGUGGCCCGGAAAGUGGCCCUCGGGCCCCGAGCAGCGACCCGCAGACGCCGCCCGGCUCCGCCUGCACAGCCGCACCGCCACGAACACCAGCACCGAGAACAGGAAGAGCGACGACACGGACGCCAAGGCGACGACCAAGUAGACGGUGAGCGGGUCGGCCCGCGCCUCGGCCGCCGCCACCUCCGGGAGCGGCAGGUAGGGCUGCGAGAAGCCGUCCACCAGCAGCACGUGCAGCGUGACGCUGGCCGAGCGCGGCGGCUCGCCAUUGUCCCUGACCAGCACCACCAGCCUGUGCUUGACGGCGUCGCGCUCGCUCAGCAGCCGCGCCGUGCGCACCUCGCCGUUGUGCGCCCACACGCCGAACAGCCCGGGCUCCGUGGCCUUGAGCAGCUGGUACGACAGCCAGGCGUUCUGGCCCGAGUCGCCGUCCACCGCCACCACCUUGGUCACCAGGUAGCCCGCCUCGGCCGCCCUGGGCACCAGCUCGGUGCAGGGCGCAGAGCCGUUCUGCGGCGGGUACAGCACGAAGGGCGCGUUGUCGUUGUCGUCCAGCACCAGCACGCGCACCCGCGCCUGGCUGCUGAGCGCGGGCGAGCCGCGGUCGGCCGCGCGCACGCCGAACUCGAACGCCUGCAGCGCCUCGUAAUCCAGGGACCUGAGCGCGAACAGCUGCCCGUUGUCCGCGUUGAUGGACACCAGGGAGGCCAGGGGCAGCUGCGGGUCCGCGGGCGGCAGCAGCGAGUAGGUGACCUGGGCGUUGGCGCCCGAGUCCCUGUCCGUGGCGCUCACGCUGCCGAUGUGCAGGGCGGGGCUGUUGUUCUCGCGGACGCGCAGGGUGUAGGUGGUUUGGCUGAAGGCGGGGGCGUUGUCGUUGACGUCGGAGACCGUCACGGUUAUGUUGUGCUGCGUUUUCAGCCUGGGGGUCCCCAAGUCGGUGACGGUGAUGGUGAUGUUGUACUCGGCCUGGCUCUCUCUGUCCAGGGGUCUCUCUGUUACCAGGGUGUAAAAAUUUUCUAAGGAAGAUUUCAGGAGAAAGGGUAGAUCGUCCUGAAUUGUGCAAUUUAUUUUCCCAUUUUCUUCCGAAUCAAGGUCUGAAACACUGAGAACUGCAACCAUAGCCUCAGGCGAGUUCUCAGGUAUGUGUCUAGUAAAUGCAGACAUGGUGAUUUCUGGGGCAUUGUCGUUCACAUCCAAGACUUGAGUCAGGACGGUGCAUUUUCCAGAAAAGCUGCCAGAAUCUCUGGCCUCAAUAUUGACUUCAUAGAACUGUAUUCUUUCAAAAUCAAGUUGUUUUUUAAGUCGAAUUUCUCCCGUCAUAGAAUUGAUUUCAAAGGUUUUGCAAAUCUGUUCAGAAGCCUGGAAAAGUGAAUAGGAAAUCUCUCCGUUGACUCCUAUGUCUGCAUCCGUAGCAGAGACUGUGACAAUCAGGAAGCCUAUCGGACUGUCCUCGGGAAUUUUCACCCUAUAGAGAGACUGCUCAAAUUCAGGGGCGUUAUCAUUGAUGUCCACGACUUCAAUGUUGAUCUGAGCGAUGCCAGACCUGGGUGGAGAGCCGCCAUCCUGAGCUGUAAGGGUUAACCUGAGCUCAGGUUCCUGCUCUCGAUCUAGCGCUUUAUCCAGCACCAACUCAGGAUAUCUGCUGCCAUCACUGCUCUUGCGGGUGAGGACGCGAAAAUAAGAGUUGGGACUGAUUAUAUAGGUCUCAAUAUUAUUUCGGCCUACGUCCACAUCCUGAGCGUUCUUCAGUGGAAAUGUAGUUCCAGGUGGACUGCUCUCUGAUAUUUUUAGCAACAUAUCUCUGUCUACGAAUACUGGGGAAUGGUCAUUUAUGUCUAUUACUUGUAGCUCAGCUUGAAAAAACUGUAAGGGAUUUUCUAGCAACACCUGGAAACGCAGCACACAGGGGUCUGUGUGACCGCACAAUUCCUCCCGGUCCAGUUUCUCAUUUAGCAACAAAUCUCCAGUCUCCUGAUCCAGCUUCAAAUGUAGUUUGUUCCCUUUGGAAAUAACCCUUGCCCCACGCUUGGAGAGUUCCCUCUGACCCAGACCUAGAUCCUUUGCUAAAUUGGUUACAAAGGAGCUACCCUCGGUUUCCUCCACCACAGAAUAGCGUCCAGGUUCCAUACCCGCCUGAGAUAAGCCCAAGAGGACAAAGAAUAAAACGACUUGCCUUUGUCUGCAAAUGAACUUCCCACUGGCCUCCAUUGUUCUUGUCUGGUAAAGCCUCCCUCCAGGGUGGUUCUGCUGAACUGUAACGACUUCAGUAUCCGAGACUGUGGCUCUGUCACAGGAUAACUCAGAAAUAUUCCAGUGAGUGGUCCUUAUCAAAGGACCCAGUCCUCCUCCAGUGGCAUCCAAGCUUCCCGUGGGCUUCCAGGUUCUGUUGCUUAGUUUUGCCUGUUAAUGGUGCUGCAGCUGCGGUGCUGGUCUGUACCGUCUUAUCCUGCAGCGCCACCAGGCGUCCUCAUAGGAUCUUACAUUUUCUGGGAUGAAAAAUGAUGCAGUAUUCCCAACUCUUGCCUGUUAUGUACUAUACUGAGUCUUACCUUUACUAUCCCUGGACUUUACGGUGCAGACAACUGUCUGAGAGCCAAAAAAGAGAAAUAACACUAGUAAGGACUUUCUACUUUCAAUAACGCUAAGUGAAUUUGGAGCAAAAAGAAAAUAUUUAUGUAACAGCCUGGCUAAGAAGAAAACAUAUAAAAUUAAAAUAUACAACUGGAGGGGUGCCUGAGUGGCUCGUUGGUUGAGCGUCUGACUUCAAGUCAUGAUCUUGUGGUUUGUGAGUUAGAGCCCCACUUUCGGCUCACUGCUGUCAGCACAGAGCCUGCUUCAGAUGCUCUGCCCCUGCCUCUCUCUGCCCCUAUCCUGCUUGUGCUCUCUCUCAAAAUUAAACAUAUAUAUAUAGUAUAUGUAUUAUGUAUAUAUAUAUACACACACACAUACAUAUACAUACACACACACAAUUGGAGUCUGAAGAAAACUUUCAGAGUUAUAUAUUUUUAUUGCCAAGAACUAUGGAAACUGCUAGCUAUGAAACUUGGACAAAUUAUUUAACCUCUCCCAGUUUUCUCACUUGUAGGAUGGAGAUAGUAAUAGUGUAUACCUCAUAGGGCCGCCUUGAGUUUCCUCACUUUACAGAUGAAGAUACUGAGACAGAGAGAGAUUAACUUUACACACACACACACACACACACACACACACACACACACACUAAGCAUGUAAUUUGAUGCCAUCAGGUAGCAGAGUUUACAUGAGUCCAUUGCCAUGACUUGAAAACACCCAAGAUUCAUGUGGUAGAAGAAUGUAUGAGCAGGAUUACUCAGAAAUUAUCAUCUCAAAUGAUGAAACAAGGAAAGGCUGGAGAGUUUAUCUAAGAGAGAUAUAAUCUGUAACUGCAGUGGUGAUUCCACAUCUCAGAUGGAUGUCCUAAUUUCAUUAACUUCCCUUCUUACAGUGUCAAUUGUAAAAACUUUUUAUUAUGAAAAAUUUCAAACCCCAUAAGGAAGAACUGUAUGAUGAAUCUCCAGGUACUCAUCACUAGCUUCAACAGUUCUCAAUAUUUUGCCAUUAUUGCUCACUCUAUCUGCCCAUCAUUUUCCAAUCCCAAACUAAGUUUUCACCCAUAAAUACUUCAUUAUAGAUCUCCAACUUUUAAUACUUAAAAAAAUAAAACAACUAUAAUGCCAUCCCCACACCUAAGAAGUUAGGUUAGCAUUAUUUAAUAUCCACUUAGAUUCAAUUUUCUCUAAUUCUUUCAGUUGUUAUGGUUGUUUGAAUCAAGACCCACCAAGCAUUAUAUUUGCUUGGUAUGUGUCUUAAUUUCUUUCAUUGUGUAGAAUUCCCUCCUCCCUUUUUCCAUUUCAUUGAUUUGUUGGAAAAAGGAUAAUUUUACCCUGACACCAUGAAAACAAUUUAGGAUUUUACUGCCAUGAGGGGUUUUUCUUUUGCCCUUAGACUAUAUCCCAUUAGUAAUUCAUAGUAGCGGUACUAUUUUAAGAGUUACCAGCACUUAGCAUAUAAUACAUUCAGAAUACAGCUAUGUAUAAAUUAUCUGAAUAGUUGUUAAAGAAAAAGCAAUGGCAGAUUAUUAUAGCAAGCAAAACUUCUCAUUAACUUUCCAAAAUCUCUAAGCAAUUUAAUGACAAUUUGUUUCUUUAAUAUGACAUAUUUAAAACUAUUCUUUUUCUUAUAUUUCCCUGAUUCAUCACUGCAAUAUAUUGAAUAGGAAGUUUUAAAAAUUAACUUUAAAAUUAAGGAAGGAAAAUGUGUUUUAAAAGUAGGUAGGGACCACUGUAGAAAAGUUAUUGCAAUGUGAGGAAAAAUAAACUAAUGAAGCAAUCAAACUGAUGUAUUAUUUCUAUUCAGGGUCAUUAAGUUUUCUGUGAUAUGAAGGUCAUAUGUUCAGAUAACAAGGAGAAAACACAAAUGGAUCCUUCAAUAUUUUUUAACUUAAGCUUUGGUCAGAUCACAGCUCUAAUAAUAAUAGUUGAAUAAUUGAUCCAGAAAAGCUGGUUAUAUGUGGGAACAUAUAACCACAGACCACUACACACAUUAUUAUCUCCAAACGUAGAAAACACUCAACAGGUAUACUAACCUGAGAAGAUUCUUCUCCUUAAUUAGGAGAAACUUGCCAGGUGAUAUCUAAUGACAGAAAGCAGUAUAGCAUCAUAGCAAGAUCCCAGAGUCAGACAGAUCUAGGAGAGAUGCUCAGCUCUACCAUUUAUUAGUUGCUGACCCUAGUGAACUCGCUGGGCCUCUAUGAAUAUCUAUUUGCUCAUUUCUAAAACACCUUACAGAUUUACUUCUAAUAUUAAAAGUGUUAAAAUUGUGUAUGAUGCAUAGUAAGCGUUUUUUAAAAAGCUUUAAAAGAUACUAUCUUUACUUCUAAAACUAAGAGUAGGUAUACUACAACACUCCAACUCAGAAAAUAAGAGUAGCAAAAUUUUAAAGACAAAACCAACUUAAAACAUCAUAAACAAGAUUAAUCACGUAAUAGGCUGCAAAAAAAUGCACAAUUGUUUGAGAUAGAAUAUAACACAUAUACAUUGCAUGCUUUGUGGAAGUUUCCUAGGGCUAAAGCUGGAUCCGUUUCUCUGUAAAGAAAUUUACCCUGACUUUAAAUAAUAUUAAAGCACUCCUCUACAGGUAACUCAGGACGAAUUUCAUAAUAGAAAAAUAUUUACAGACACAAUAUGGACAUUUAUGUUCCAUCCCUUAUCAGAAACCCAAAUCAUUCUGAAAUGAGGGAUAUUCUUCCACUUCCUUUCUUGUACUUUGAAACUGCAGAUUAGGGAUAAUGGGCUUGAGGAACUUGAACUCACUGGUCCCCGAGCCUCCCCGAAGACACACCUCAUACUGGUAGCUCUGGGACAGCGUCCCCGCGCCGCUGACGUCCACCAGGUGGCCCGGAAAGUGGCCCUCGGGCCCCGAGCAGCGACCCGCAGACGCCGCCCGGCUCCGCCUGCACAGCCGCACCGCCACGAACACCAGCACCGAGAACAGGAAGAGCGACGACACGGACGCCAAGGCGACGACCAAGUAGACGGUGAGCGGGUCGGCCCGCGCCUCGGCCGCCGCCACCUCCGGGAGCGGCAGGUAGGGCUGCGAGAAGCCGUCCACCAGCAGCACGUGCAGCGUGACGCUGGCCGAGCGCGGCGGCUCGCCAUUGUCCCUGACCAGCACCACCAGCCUGUGCUUGACGGCGUCGCGCUCGCUCAGCAGCCGCGCCGUGCGCACCUCGCCGUUGUGCGCCCACACGCCGAACAGCCCGGGCUCCGUGGCCUUGAGCAGCUGGUACGACAGCCAGGCGUUCUGGCCCGAGUCGCCGUCCACCGCCACCACCUUGGUCACCAGGUAGCCCGCCUCGGCCGCCCUGGGCACCAGCUCGGUGCAGGGCGCAGAGCCGUUCUGCGGCGGGUACAGCACGAAGGGCGCGUUGUCGUUGUCGUCCAGCACCAGCACGCGCACCCGCGCCUGGCUGCUGAGCGCGGGCGAGCCGCGGUCGGCCGCGCGCACGCCGAACUCGAACGCCUGCAGCGCCUCGUAAUCCAGGGACCUGAGCGCGAACAGCUGCCCGUUGUCCGCGUUGAUGGACACCAGGGAGGCCAGGGGCAGCUGCGGGUCCGCGGGCGGCAGCAGCGAGUAGGUGACCUGGGCGUUGGCGCCCGAGUCCCUGUCCGUGGCGCUCACGCUGCCGAUGUGCAGGGCGGGGCUGUUGUUCUCGCGGACGCGCAGGGUGUAGGUGGUUUGGCUGAAGGCGGGGGCGUUGUCGUUGACGUCGGAGACCGUCACGGUUAUGUUGUGCUGCGUUUUCAGCCUGGGGGUCCCCAAGUCGGUGACGGUGAUGGUGAUGUUGUACUCGGCCUGGCUCUCUCUGUCCAGGGGUCUCUCUGUUACCAGGGUGUAGAAAUUCUGUACUGAAGGCUUCAGGACGAAGGGGAGAUGGUCUUGGAUGGAGCACACCAUCUUUGCAUUGUUCCCUGAAUCUCUGUCUCUAAUCCUAAAAACAGCUACUACUGUCUCAGGUGAGUUUUCUGCAAUUGGGCUAGUAAGUGAUGACAUAAGCAGUUCCGGUGGAUUAUCAUUUAUAUCUGUUACAUGGACCACCACUGUACAUUUUCCAGAAAGCCCUCCGCCAUCUUUGGCCUGAAUAGUUAAUGUAUAAGUUUGUAUUGCCUCGUAGUUCAAUUCGGCUUUAAGAUAAAGCUUGCCAGAUGUUGAAUUGAUUCGAAAUGUUUUGAGAAUUACUUCAGUGGCAUAAAAAAAUGCAUAGACUAUUUCUCCAUUAGUUCCGGUAUCUAAAUCUCUAGCUGACACAGCGACAACCAGGGAGCCAACAGGGCUGUCUUCAGUCACCUGCACCUUGUAGAGGGACUGUGCAAAUUCAGGGAUGUUAUCAUUUAUGUCCAAAACCAGGAUGCGUAUGAGGGCAGUCCCGGAUCUGGGCGGAGACCCGCCAUCCAAGGCUGUGAGGGUUAAAUUGAGCUCAGAAACCUUUUCACGAUCCAGCACUGCAUCCAGGACCAAUUCAGGAUAAACAUUUCCCUCCCCACUAUCACGGACAUUAAUAUGGAAAUAGGCAUUGGAGCUGAUGGUGUAGUUUCUCAGGUUGUUGAUUCCAACAUCUGAAUCCUGUGCACUUUCUAGGAGAAAUGUUGCCCCUGGAGUGGUACUUUCUAAUAUUUUCAAGGUAGUCUCUCUAUCUAGAAAUACUGGAGAAUGAUCGUUGAUGUCUCUGACCCAUAGUUCAGCACGGAAAAUCUGAAAAGGCUUUUCAAGUAACAACUGGAAAGGUAGCACACACGGCUCUCUGGGCCCACACAGUUCCUCUCGGUCUAAUUUCUCAUUUAGAAGUAAAUCACCAGUAAGCGGCUUGAAUAGUAAAAAUCGUAUGUUCUCAUCUGAAAUGACUCUAGAUCCCCGAGCUGACAGUUCCCCCACCCCCAACCCCAGAUCAUUUGCUAGGUUGGCCAGAAAGGUCUCUCUCUCCGUUUCCUCCGCCACAAAAUACCGAAGCGGUUCUGUGCUAGCCCAAGACAUUCCCAGAAAUACACAAAGAAAAAACACUUGCCUUUUCUGCACUUCAGGCAUCACUCUGGCCUCCAUUCUUCGUUUAAACAAUCUUUCAAAAC